This 253-nucleotide ribosomal RNA is filed under the name uncultured bacterium. RNAcentral's name for it is "partial 16S ribosomal RNA". It matches the Rfam family "Bacterial small subunit ribosomal RNA", at positions 524 to 776 of the family's 1533-position model. The record is from RNAcentral.
UACAGAGGGGGCGAGCGUUGUUCGGAAUUACUGGGCGUAAAGGGCGCGUAGGCGGCCUGUUAAGUCGAACGUGAAAUCCCCGGGCUCAACCCGGGAACUGCGUCCGAUACUGGCAGGCUUGAAUCCGGGAGAGGGAUGCGGAAUUCCAGGUGUAGCGGUGAAAUGCGUAGAUAUCUGGAGGAACACCGGUGGCGAAGGCGGCAUCCUGGACCGGCAUUGACGCUGAGGCGCGAAAGCCAGGGGAGCAAACAGG